GUAGGGAGCGAGCGUUAUCCGGAUUCAUUGGGCGUAAAGAGCGCGUAGGCGGCCUCUCAAGCGGGAUCUCUAAUCCGAGGGCUCAACCCCCGGCCGGAUCCCGAACUGGGAGGCUCGAGUUCGGUAGAGGCAGGCGGAAUUCCCGGUGUAGCGGUGGAAUGCGCAGAUAUCGGGAAGAACACCGAUGGCGAAGGCAGCCUGCUGGGCCGCAACUGACGCUGAGGCGCGAAAGCUAGGGGAGCGAACAGGAUUAGAUACCCUGGUAGUCCUAGCCGUAAACGAUGGAUACUAGGUGUGGGGGGCUCCGCCCUCCGUGCCGCAGCCAACGCAUUAAGUAUCCCGCCUGGGGAGUACGGCCGCAAGGCUA
This 367-nucleotide ribosomal RNA is filed under the name uncultured bacterium. Its description in RNAcentral is "bacterial SSU rRNA". It matches the Rfam family "Bacterial small subunit ribosomal RNA", at positions 527 to 896 of the family's 1533-position model. The record is from RNAcentral.